Molecule: ribosomal RNA, 497 nt
Filed under: uncultured bacterium
Lineage: Bacteria
Description: partial 16S ribosomal RNA
Rfam family: Bacterial small subunit ribosomal RNA
Source: RNAcentral
GAUGAACGCUGGCGGCGUGCCUAAUACAUGCAAGUCGAACGAACGGACGAGAAGCUUUCUUCCCUGAUGUUAGCGGCGGACGUGUGAGUAACACGUGUAUACCCUACCUAUAAGACUGGGAUAACUCCGGUAAACCGGAGCUCAUACCGGCUAAUAUUUUGAACCGCAGGGUUCAAGACUGAACGCCGGUCUUGCUGUCACUUAUAGAUGUAGUCGCGCUGCAUUAGGUAGUUGGUAAGGUAACGGCUUACCAAGUCAACGAAGCAUAGCCGACCUGAGAGGGUGAUCGGCCACACUGGAAAUGAGAAACGGUCCAGACUCCUACGGGAGGCAGCAGUAGGGAAUCUUCCACAAUGGGCGAAAGCCUGACGGAGCAACGCCGCGUGAGUGAUGAAGGUCUUCGGAUCGUAAAAUUCUGUUAUUAGGGAAGAAAAUAUGCGUAAGAAAAUGGGGAGAUCUUGACGGUACCGGAAGAGAAAGCCACGGCUAACUACGUG